UUUUAUUUGAGAGUUUGAUCCUGGCUCAGGAUGAACGCUGGCGGCGUGCUUAACACAUGCAAGUCGAGCGAAGCAUUUUAAAUGAAGUUCUCGGAUGGAUUUUGGAAUGACUGAGCGGCGGACGGGUGAGUAACGCGUGGAUAACCUGCCUUAUACAGGGGGAUAACAGCCAGAAAUGGCUGCUAAUACCGCAUAAGC
Molecule: ribosomal RNA, 198 nt
Filed under: Marvinbryantia formatexigens
Lineage: Bacteria; Bacillati; Bacillota; Clostridia; Lachnospirales; Lachnospiraceae
Description: 16S rRNA. Bacterial SSU
Rfam family: Bacterial small subunit ribosomal RNA
Source: RNAcentral